GGAGAGCACAGGCAGCCGGAGGCUUAAGCUGGCUGCUCCCACCUCCGCCUCUCCACGCUUCCUGCUUCCACCAUGAAGCCGCUGGUACGGGUUCAAAGAAGAAAAUUCGCCACAAGCACAGAAUUCUUUCAAGUCCCAGUUUUUAAAUUCAUGUGCACGCUGCCUUCUGCUCGGUAAAUCCAAAGGGAUGCAGACCAGAGCUAAUGCAGAGACCCCAUGGUGUCCACAAGAAACUGAGCUUCUUUCUUUUUUCUCUACUUUUGUCAGUAUUUGGCUUUUAUCUUCUUGGACCCAAUAUAUACUGGGCACAGCAUCUUUUUUUU
This 323-nucleotide long non-coding RNA is filed under the name Homo sapiens (human). RNAcentral describes it as "HSALNT0128702". Lineage: Eukaryota; Metazoa; Chordata; Mammalia; Primates; Hominidae. The record is from RNAcentral.